CAGCCAUAUGGCGCGGGUGAGAGCUUGGGGUACACCGCGGAGUUCCGCCUCAACCCGAUGUGCUUGCGGGAUAAGGAUCUCUGGCUUAUGCGGUGCCCAUUGAUAUGCAAUUGGGCGGUUGAGUUUCAUUUGCCGCAUCGCGUGUAUCGUCAGUUUGGUCUUUUCCAGCCUCACCCGCCGGAUUGGGUGGACACGGAUAAAGCACUUCAUAGGUUGGACAGGAGAAGGCAACGGAAGAUAAAGGACUGGGCCAAGCAUCAUUCUGCGUAUGUUACCCGCUUCCAGCUUUGUGUGGAGCAAGCUCGUAGCACUGCACGCGCCCCGCUUCGUGAGCACAACUCACUUGCUUUUGAUAACUACGUACGAUGGUUUAUUGGAACUACUCGAGUUGAGAUAUGCCCGCCGGCAUAUAAUGAGGAUAUUCUUGAAGAACCCGUAAACUUUGAGGAUCUAGCAAAGGGGAAGUACAACAGAGAUGUCAGGCUAGGGCAAGGAGUGCCUGCUGUUCCGGUCAUUAACUAUGUGCGCACCGAGAUCAAGAAAGCAGCUGAUGAGAGCCAGUCUAUUCUGGAGAAGACACCGGUUGGAACUGGCAAUGAUGAUGGUUCACUACGAGCAUUCCUCAAGCGUCAGGCCAAGAAGUUAAGGCGGUUAUCGAACCUUCUCGGUUGCCGUGAUCCUGAAUAUGAUGAACCAUCUGCCUCUAGGUCUGGUACACCAUCAGACCCCGCACCUCACCAUGAGGGGGACGAUGUGAGUUCCUCAUAUGCUUAUGUGGAUGAUGAGGGU
Molecule: ribosomal RNA, 789 nt
Filed under: Triticum aestivum (bread wheat)
Lineage: Eukaryota; Viridiplantae; Streptophyta; Magnoliopsida; Poales; Poaceae
Description: partial small subunit ribosomal RNA
Source: RNAcentral